RNAcentral lists this ribosomal RNA (403 nucleotides) under uncultured bacterium. RNAcentral describes it as "partial 16S ribosomal RNA". It matches the Rfam family "Bacterial small subunit ribosomal RNA", at positions 28 to 526 of the family's 1533-position model. The record is from RNAcentral.
GACGAACGCUGGCGGCGUGCCUAAUACAUGCAAGUCGAACGCAGUGGGGACGGGUGAGUAACACGUGGGUAACCUCCCAUCAGAGGGGAUAACACUUGGAAACAGGUGCUAAACCGAUACUGAUGGAUGGACCGGCGGUGCAUUAGCUAGUUGGUGUGGUAAGGGCGCACCAAGGCCACGAUGCAUAGCCGUCCUGAGAGGGUGAUCGGCCCCGAUGUGACUGAGACACGACCCAGACUCCUCGGCGGGGAAGCAGUAGGGACUCUUCGGCAAUGGACGAAAGUCUGACCGGGCGACGCAGCGUGGGUGAAGAAGGUUUUCGGAUCGUACAUCUCUGUUGUUAGAGAAGCGGUAUCUAACGAGAAAGCCACGGCUAACUACGUGCCAGCCGCCGCGGUAAUUC